AUGACUAGCACCCAACAGAGUGAGAGUGCAAACCACAUGCUUAAAAAUUACGUGCCGCCAGCAUGCCCGAUGAAUGUUUUCGUUAAGCAGUAUGGCAAGCUACAAUAUGACAGGGAACAGGAGGAAGGAUUUCAAGAGAAAAGAACAAGGCUGGGUGGAGCUGUUAUAAAAUCAAAUCUUCCAAUAGAGCGUCACGCAAGGAAGAUUUAUACAAGGACAAUGUUUGAGAUGUUUGGAAGGACGCUUUAUGUGGCUGGCUACUAUUUUGUUGAAGAGUUAGAACCAAAAAUAAGAUAUGUUGCCAUACAUGGGAACCCUGAAAGCAUGGAUCUGUGGUUCAAAACUAAGUAUGAGGUGGUUAUAGCCGAAGACCAAUCAAAAUACAGUUGCGAGUGUGGAAGAUACGAGCACAUGGGAAUGAUUUGCUCUCAUAUACUAAAGGUUAUGAUAAUACUUGAUGUGAAGAAAAUCCCACAAGCACACAUAAUGAAGAGAUGGACACUAGAAGCUCGAGAUGUUUUGCCGGAUCAUAUCAAGCAUUACCAGAGAGACAUGGGGCCACCUGAUGCAAUGACAUUCAGGCAUUCUGCAAUGUACAUAACAAAAUUGGAGAUUGUCCAUCUUGGUGACAGCAAUCCUGAGGCUUUUGAGUAUGUCAUGAAUGGACUUUGUGAUUUAAAACAGAAAGCUAUGGCAUUAAACCUUAACAAAGACGGGUUGAGUGUGAUAGAGAAGUCGAAAGCAUCAAGCAUGACAAACUCCGUGGGUUCCCGAACAUCUUGCAAAACAAUGAAGACGAAGCGCCCAAGUGUUUCCAAAGAGUCUGUUUCCAACUCUUCACGUGUUAACCCCAUCGAGCCAAAUUUUGUUUGUAGUAGUGAAGUGUCCUCAAGAGAAGUUUUGUUAGCACCAGAAAGGAGGCUGAAAAGAGGAUACCCAACCACAUCACGUGACAAAGCGCCGUAUGAAGAUUCACAGAAGCGGACACGUUUCGGUAGUGUUUGUCGUGGAAAAGGCCACAAGAGCACUACUUGUCCACAAAGGGGAGAUCUGCCAGUUAAACCACGCAAAGAACCGCUUUGUAGCAAUUGCAAAGUUUCUGGUCAUAGGAAGAAUAGUUGCUCCAAGAAAAUGGUAAGUUUCAUGGAAGGGAUUAGUACAUUCCCAGGUCUGUCCACUGUGGGUGUUGAAGAGCUGGACUGA
Molecule: ribosomal RNA, 1203 nt
Filed under: Triticum aestivum (bread wheat)
Lineage: Eukaryota; Viridiplantae; Streptophyta; Magnoliopsida; Poales; Poaceae
Description: partial small subunit ribosomal RNA
Source: RNAcentral